Molecule: ribosomal RNA, 533 nt
Filed under: uncultured bacterium
Lineage: Bacteria
Description: bacterial SSU rRNA
Rfam family: Bacterial small subunit ribosomal RNA
Source: RNAcentral
AGAAAAUAGAUACCCAGGUAGUCCACGCCCUAAACGAUGCAUAUUUGGUGUGGGUGAUUCAGUUCAUCCGUGCCGGAGCUAACGCGUUAAAUAUGCCGCCUGGGGAGUACAGUCGCAAGGCUGAAACUCAAAGGAAUUGACGGGGGCCCGCACAAGCGGUGGAGCAUGUGGUUCAAUUCGACGCAACGCGAAGAACCUUACCUGGGCUCGAACGGCCGGUCAACGGCAGUGGAAACACUGUUAUCCCGCAAGGGAGUCCGGUCGAGGUGCUGCAUGGCUGUCGUCAGCUCGUGUCGUGAGAUGUUGGGUUAAGUCCCGCAACGAGCGCAACCCUCGUCCUGUGUUGCCAUGGGAGCAAUCCCGGAACUCGCAGGAGACCGCCAGCGAUAAGUUGGAGGAAGGUGGGGAUGACGUCAAGUCCUCAUGGCCUUUAUGUCCAGGGCUACACACGUGCUACAAUGGCCGGUACAAAGCGCUGCAAACCCGCGAGGGGGAGCCAAUCGCAAAAAACCGGCCUCAGUUCGGAUUGCAGG